UCUCCGUUGAAGCCCAAAUUUGGGUCAUCUCCCCCAUUGAAGCCCAAUUUCGGUGGUCGAUCAGAGUCAAGCUUCUGCUGGGGAUUUCAAUCUUCUCUUCCAAUUUCCAAUUUCUCAAUUCUUCUCAUCUCGAUUUAUCAAUCCCACCCAGAUUUGAGAUCAUGGUUUUAUCCCAGAAGCUUCACGAGGCCUUCAAAGGAACUGUUGAGAGGAUCACCGGACCUCGAACCGUCUCCGCUUUCAAAGAGAAAGGCGUUCUCAGUGUUUCUGAGUUCGUCAUCGCCGGUGAUAAUCUCGUCUCCAAGUGUCCCACCUGGUCUUGGGAGUCGGGUGAUCUGAACAAGAGGAAAUCAUAUCUGCCCCCAGAUAAGCAAUUCUUGAUUACCAGAAAUGUUCCUUGCCUGCGACGGGCUGCCUCUGUUGAAGAGGAGUAUGAAGCUGCAGGUGGUGAAGUUCUUCUUGAUAAUGAAGAUGGUGAUGGCUGGCUGGCGACCCAUGGGAAACCAAAGGAAGAAAAAAGAGACGAAGAGGAAAAUUUGCCUUCCUUGGAAACUCUUGAAAUCAGCAGGACCAAGGUUGUUAAGUCGAUUCCAAACUAUUUUGGUGGUGAAGAUGAAGAUGAUGUUCCUGACCUGGAUGAUAUCGAAGAAACUGACAAUGUUGUUGGAACUGAUCCAGCCACCCUGCCAUUGACCUACCAAAUUGCCCACGAACCUGAUGACGAUAAUAUCCUACGAACACGAACUUAUGAUGUCAGCAUCACGUAUGAUAAAUAUUAUCAGACACCACGUGUUUGGCUUACAGGAUAUGAUGAGUCAAGGAUGCUCUUACAGCCGGAACUUGUGCUUGAAGAUGUUAGUCAAGAUCAUGCUCGAAAAACAGUGACCAUUGAGGACCAUCCCCACCUACCUGGAAAGCAUGCGUCUGUACAUCCCUGCAGACACGGGGCUGUGAUGAAAAAGAUCAUCGAUGUGUUAAUGUCCCGAGGUGUAGAACCUGAAGUUCACAAGUAUCUUUUCUUGUUCUUAAAAUUUGUUGCAUCUGUUAUUCCGACUAUUGAAUAUGAUUAUACUAUGGACUUCGAUCUCGGCGGCCCUAGCAGUCAAUAACUGGUAUUGAUAAGCAUUCUUAGAUGAAGUUUAGUCGUUUUGAAAAUUUCUGAAAGCCAGAGAUCAUGAAGUGUCAAUUCUCUCUUUGUUUAAUCAUUCAUCGCGUUACUGCCAGUAGGAACACUUAUCCGGUUAUACAUACGUGUGGGACAUUUCACAUCUGAUGUUUCUGCAAAUACAGGCUGACCCCUCGCUCUUUGUACAUACACAACAUGGGGUCUAAAAGUUACCCUCUUUUGGGCAUAUUUUGUGUUUUGGAAGUCUAAUCUUGCCAUUGCUUUCUGUCAAAUCUUAGUUUGGGCAUAAAGAUCAUUUGUGGUUCUUUGUAACAUAACAUGGAGCAGAAAGUUUCUGCUCUUCACAACUUACUAUUCAAUGGGAAUUUGUUUGCUAUUAAACUAGUGCAGCAAAAACUCAUUUUCAUCUUGUUGGGAAAAAAAAAAUUGAUUGAAUGCCAUUAUUGCAAUAUAAUACCUACCUAUUAACAAUCUCUCUUCA
Molecule: RNA transcript, 1607 nt
Organism: Cucumis sativus (cucumber)
Lineage: Eukaryota; Viridiplantae; Streptophyta; Magnoliopsida; Cucurbitales; Cucurbitaceae
Gene name: autophagy-related protein 3
Exons: 11
Source: RefSeq, a predicted model, not a curated record